This 387-nucleotide long non-coding RNA is filed under the name Homo sapiens (human). RNAcentral's name for it is "HSALNT0343539". The record is from RNAcentral. Lineage: Eukaryota; Metazoa; Chordata; Mammalia; Primates; Hominidae.
AAAAUCCUGAACCAGAGAGUGUGGCAGAUUACAGAUGACUGCAAAUUCAUUGAUAUUCCUCCUGUUGAGAGAGCCCUGAGUCACCAUUUAAGAAGUCCGACUACCCUGCUGAAGAGAUCACAUGGAGGGGCUCUGAGACUACAGCCUGAGAGCUGUUCCCACCAAGGUGUCAGGCUUGUGACUGAAGCCAUCUUGGAUGUUCCAGACUGGCCCAGGCCUCCAGACCUGGGCUGAAUUACAUCACCAGCUUUCCUGAUUCUUCAGCUUGCAGAUGGCAGAUUAGGGAACUUCUCAGUCUCCAUAAUCAUGUCAGCUGGGGCUCUGCUCUGCAUCUUCCUCCCUCUGGAACCCUAGCUGAGUGAGUGGUCACUAUCUGGAACAUUGCUG